GGGCCCGCACAAGCGGUGGAGCAUGUGGUUUAAUUCGAUGAUACGCGAGGAACCUUACCAGGGCUUAAAUGCAGAAUGACAGAUUGGGAAACCAGUCCUUCUUCGGACAUUUUGCAAGGUGCUGCAUGGUUGUCGUCAGCUCGUGCCGUGAGGUGUCAGGUUAAGUCCUAUAACGAGCGCAACCCCUAUUCUUAGUUGCCAGCGGGUAAUGCCGGGAACUCUAAGGAGACUGCCAGCGCAAGCUGCGAGGAAGGUGGGGAUGACGUCAAAUCAUCACGGCCCUUACGUCCUGGGCUACACACGUGCUACAAUGGAUGGUACAAUGGGCAGCCACUACGCGAGUAGGCGCGAAUCUUCAAAGCCGGUCUCAGUUCGGAUCGGAGUCUGCAACUCGACUCCGUGAAGCUGGAAUC
This 413-nucleotide ribosomal RNA is filed under the name uncultured bacterium. RNAcentral's name for it is "bacterial SSU rRNA". It matches the Rfam family "Bacterial small subunit ribosomal RNA", at positions 917 to 1333 of the family's 1533-position model. The record is from RNAcentral.